CUUGUUCUUUAAAUGAGGACUCGUAUCAACGGCAUCACGAGGAUCCUACUGUCUCCCCCCUCUAAUCGGUGAAACUGAUCUCUCCGUGAAGAAGCGGAGAUGUACAUAUAAGACGAGAAGACCCCAUGGAGCUUUAAACCCAACAACACCCGCCCCCCCUCCAAAUCCUAUUAUUUACCCGGUGAUUGUUUGUUUGGUUUUAGGUUGGGGUGACCGCGGAGUAUAAGAUAUCCUCCAUGAAAAAAAGCUAACUGCCCUUAUUAGAGAAAGACACUUCCAAAAAAUAAUAAAUUAAUUUUAAAUGAUCCGACAUUCGAUCAACGAACCAAGUUACCCUGGGGAUAACAGCGCAAUCCGUCCCGAGAGCCCCUAUCGACAGGCGGGUUUACGACCUCGAUGUUGGAUCAGGGUAUCCUAGUGGUGCAGCAGCUACUAAAGGUUCGUUUGUUCAACGAUUAAAACCCU
RNAcentral lists this ribosomal RNA (465 nucleotides) under Boophis madagascariensis (Madagascar bright-eyed frog). RNAcentral's name for it is "partial 16S ribosomal RNA". It matches the Rfam family "Bacterial large subunit ribosomal RNA", at positions 1968 to 2597 of the family's 2925-position model. The record is from RNAcentral. Lineage: Eukaryota; Metazoa; Chordata; Amphibia; Anura; Mantellidae.